GGGCCCGCACAAGCGGUGGAGCAUGUGGUUUAAUUCGAUGAUACGCGAGGAACCUUACCAGGGCUUAAAUGUAGUGGGACAGGUCUAGAGAUAGACCCUUCUUCGGACUCAUUACAAGGUGCUGCAUGGUUGUCGUCAGCUCGUGCCGUGAGGUGUCAGGUUAAGUCCUAUAACGAGCGCAACCCCUAUCGUUAGUUGCCAGCGGGUAAUGCCGGGAACUCUAGCGAAACUGCCGGUGCAAACCGAGAGGAAGGUGGGGAUGACGUCAAAUCAUCACGGCCCUUACGUCCUGGGCUACACACGUGCUACAAUGGCCGGUACAGAGAGCAGCCACUACGCGAGUAGGAGCGAAUCUAUAAAACCGGUCUCAGUUCGGAUUGAGGUCUGCAACUCGACCUCAUGAAGUCGGAGUCGCUAG
RNAcentral lists this ribosomal RNA (418 nucleotides) under uncultured bacterium. RNAcentral describes it as "bacterial SSU rRNA". It matches the Rfam family "Bacterial small subunit ribosomal RNA", at positions 917 to 1338 of the family's 1533-position model. The record is from RNAcentral.